GGAGAGAUGUCCGAGUGGUCGAAGGUGGCGGUCUCGAAAACCGCUGUACGGGGAUAACCCGUACCGAGGGUUCAAAUCCCUCUCUCUCCG
RNAcentral lists this transfer RNA (90 nucleotides) under Clostridium sp. N3C. It matches the Rfam family "tRNA". Rfam says of the family: Transfer RNA (tRNA) molecules are approximately 80 nucleotides in length. Lineage: Bacteria; Bacillati; Bacillota; Clostridia; Eubacteriales; Clostridiaceae. The record is from Rfam by way of RNAcentral.